Molecule: long non-coding RNA, 4277 nt
Filed under: Heterocephalus glaber (naked mole-rat)
Lineage: Eukaryota; Metazoa; Chordata; Mammalia; Rodentia; Bathyergidae
Description: lncRNA (ENSHGLG00000040744.1)
Source: RNAcentral
GUCCUGCCUGUGGCCUGCAGCCUGGGGUGUAAAAGUCAAAGUUGGAGAAUGUGUUGGUGGCAGCUGGGACAGGAGUCCCCCAGGCUGAACACCCCAAGAGGGUCAAGGUCCCCAGCUCUGGUCUGAGUGGCUGCUGGCCUCUGGGGAGCCUUGCCCUCUCUGGACCUGGGAUUCCUUAGUUGUAAAAAGCAAUUGGAACAGUUCAGCAGCUCUGAAGCUUACCCUUUCCUCCCACCAAAUCUCACUGGAAAGAAUAAAGAGGGUUGUGUUGGGAUGGGGGGGUCACACCAGCCCCUGCCCAGGGCCCUCCGCAGCUCCAAGCUCCUUGCUGCCUGAGCCGAGGCUGGCCCAGGAGCUGCGUCAAAGCCGCCAAGGUGUACGGGAUGGAGCGUGGGUGCUGCACGAGGAGCCCAACUACUGCGGCCGCAUGGUCCUGCUGGAGCGCGGCGACUUGGGCGGCUUCUCCGACUGGGAGGCGCACAGCGGCCGCGUGCAGUCGCUGCGCCGGGUCGUCAACUUCUUCUAGCCGCAGGGACGGCGACCGCGGCAAUAAAGGGCUUCUGAAGAGAACUUCGGCCCUGGACUCCUGAGUGAGGUCUGUGAACGUGGGGACCCUGGAGGCGUCUGCUCCGUGCACCAGACCAAAGCCCGGCUGGAUGAGGAGUCAGAUCGCCCAUAGCCUUGUGCCUGAGUCAAGGCUCCGGGUUCAGCUUUCUAACCCAGACGGGAUCCCCCGCCCCACACCCCACCCGGGCUGGGAAUCAAACGCAGACCUACAUCUUCAGCCCUCGCACCCCGGCUCAUUCAUUAAACUAUGUGUCCAAGGGAACCACCAUCCCCAGAGAGGCUCCGUUCCUUGUCUUCCAGCCUUCCCGCCUCCCUAGGGAAGCUGUAUCUCCCUGCUUUGGUCCAAUUUUCCAUGUAGGAUUUCCGGAGACACCACAUAGAUCAUGUGAUGGGAGACGUGGCGAGGGUUUUGAGUAGGUGAAGGGGGCCGAUUGGAAAUGAAGUAGAAUAAAAAGAAGGUAAAAAGGUGACAAGGAAAUCGAGAUUUUAAAAUUGUACUUUUAGGAAAAACUGCAGCUAAGGACCCUCGUCUAUAACCUCAGUACCUUUUAAAUAUCCACAAUACCCACAAUACCCACAGUACCUUAAAAGAGUCAGUCAGUCUCCCGAGUGACAGCUGUCCAAUCAGCUGACCAACCCCUCUGGCCUCCAAGGCGAGCAGCAUCCAGCUGGCCUGGGCCUCAGGGUGUCACAAUCCUUUCCCCACAGUUGACGUCAAGGAUGACACAAUGGGACAUUUACUGAGCGUUGACUUUAUUCCAGGCUCAUGGAUGGAAUCCAUGUGAUGAUACUUAGUAUGUUAUGUAGUGACACUACCCUAGUCACUUUCCUCAUUGCUAGAACAAAAUAAGGAAAGCUUUAUUUUAGCUCACAUUUCAGUCCAUGGUUAGCCAGCUCCAAGGCAGAACGGCACCUCAGAGGAGCCUGGCAGAGGAGAGCUGCUCACAGCAUGGUAGACAGGACGCAGACGGUGAAGGAGGGAGCCAGGGAGGGAGAUGCACCCUUCCAGGCCAGGUCCGCACCAACCUGACCCUUCCAACCAGAGCCCACCUCCUACCAGCGAUCAGCUGUAAGCCCCCAUAUCCAUUCACCUUCCGAAAGCCCCACCUAUGAGCGCAUGAGGCUCCUGGGGAACGUCUAGAAAUGAACCAUAAUGGACACCAUGAUUGUGACACACUUAUUAUUGUCACUGUACAAAUGUGAACUAGACACAGGCAAGGUUCCAACCCAGGCCUGGCAGGGCCCUGUGUUUCUAUAUUGCACAGGACAUUCACACGCAGCAGGAUAUGUGGCACAAAUGUGGUGCUAACGAAAACCCUUGCAAGACUCAGACCCUUCUUCCUGACACAAGUGCAACCACACCUGCUGUACCCACUUGUAAAGGCAUUGUCACCCAUGCAGAGUUGCUACGUGAGGCUUGGUUGUUAGUAGUGAGUGACCCAGUGCCUGGGAGGAGAAGCGGGGAGGGGCAUGGCGCUUAGAGGUUAAUCGGAUUCAGGACUAACACCAGAUGUGACUUGGUCAAGCCAUUGUGCCAUGCCUUAGUGUCCCUGGGCGUCUAGUGGGAUAAUAAUACAGUACUACCAUCCUGGGAAUGAAUUUCCGGGAACCAAAUGAGAAUCAACAGUCUGCUCUCUUCCCAGCUCCCAGGAAUAGCAGCACCUCUUUAUCGGGUGAUUUAAUGCUUUGGGCAUUGAGGUCCUGGGUGACCUCCUCUUCCUCCUCCUCAGCAGUAAUGUCAGAAAUCUGCUUUUGGUCUGAAAGAAGAAAAACAAGAUUCUCACCACAGGGCUCAUGGCAGGCUUGUAAUUUAUCUGAAGUCCAUCCAGGGGGUCAGUGGACCGAGGGUGAGGGCGGCUUAGAGCUGCGUGUUUCACAUAUUUCUGUCUCCACUCUGGUUUGGAAAGCUGGAGUUUUCAAAAGCUGUGUCCUUGUGUCCUUAGCCCUGAGUCACUGUGCCCUGCCGGAACUCUGCCCAUUGGGGACCCACAAAUGCUGUUUAUCAGCCCAGUCUGACUCCAGGGACUACGUGGCCUUUAAGCCCAGGCAGAUGUUUCUCAACAGCCAGGCCUGUUCAUCCCUCCCAUUUCUGGACCUCCAGGUGCACAGCUACUGGGGUCCCCUGUCCCCUUUCCUGCUGUGACCUCAGGCUAUGGCUUCCUUAUCCCUCAGGGCAGGAUGCUUCAGAAGAGGACUAUGCCCAGUUGUAUUGUUGACCCCUCAAGAAGCCAUCAGAGAUGUUCAAUCAAAACUUGUUGAAAAAGAGGGGUUUUUGUUGUUUUGUUUUUUAUCAUUGUUGUUGUUAAUUGGUUUUUUGAGAUGGGGCCUCACUAUGUAGUUCAGGCUGGCCUUAAACUCACACAGAUCCUCCUGCCUCAGCCUCCUGAGUGCUGGAAUUACAGGCCUGGGCCACUAUACCUGGCUGAAUGAGUUUUUAAAAUCACGUGUAGCUCAGUGGUAGAGUGCUUGCCUAGUAUGUGCAAGGCCCUGGGUUCCAUCCCGGGCACUGCAAAGAAAUAAAUGAAUGGGCCGGGGAUUUAGCUCAGUGGUUUCGCCACCUGCUGUGCAAGUGCAAGGACCUGAAUUUGAUCCCCGGUACCAAAAAAAAAAAAAAAAAAGAAAUAACAAACUAGAGGGUUUUUUUUGGUUUCGUUUUUGUUUUUUUUUUUUUUGAGACAAGGUCUUGAUAUGUAGUUCAGGCUGAACUUGAACUCACUUUGUAGCCAAGGCUGGCCUAGAACUUCCAGCUAUCCUCCCACCUCAGCCUCCUGAGUUCUGGGACUACAGGCGUGGGGCACCACACCCAGCUAAACUCUGGAGUUUUAGUUGGGGAAGAUCAAAUUCUGGAGUUGGGUGGUGGUGACAGUCACAUAGCAGUGUGAAUGUACCUGGUACCCCCGCACAGUGCCUGAUGCAGACAGUGAAUUUUAUGUUAUGUGGAUAUUGCUGAAUACACAUUUUAUUAUUUAUUUAUUAUUUAUUUAUUUUUGAGACAGGAUUUCACUGUGUAGUUCAGGCUGGCCUUGAAUUUGCAGCGAUCCUCUUGCCUCACUCAGCCUCCUAUGUUGGGAUUACAGAUGUGUGCCACAAUCCAGACUAUUGAACCUAAAAAUUGAGCUCCCCUUCCGGGGAGAUGCUCAGGGCUGUUAGCAGGUGGUCUGGAUACAGAAGACCCACUCUGGAUUUUCCUAGGGAAACUUGCAGGUCUUACUGCCCGACAACUGCCCAGACACCUGCCCUACAACUCUUCCCCUGUCAUUUGUCACCUUCUUAUUGAUCUUGGUGGCUCCCACCAAAUCCAUUGAUUGCAGAGCUGAACUCCCAGGGAGACUGAGCAAGGCCACUUGCGAGCCCAGAGCCUGGGGCACCUGGGCCCAGCCCUUCCCCACACCUGGUUGCUAGGGAAGCCUCCUCCUCCCUGAAGGUUUAUAAACAGCUUCUGGGCUUCCCUGCUGUCUGUCUGAAGCAAUGGGACAGAGGCAGCUGCAGCCUCUCUUUCUGACCCUGGUGGGGGUGGAGGUGCUCCCUGGAGCAGGUUGUGGGAGUGUGUGGCAGGCUAGGCAGUGCUAGUAGAGACCUGCCGGGCCAGCCGGGAUUUAGCUCAGUGAUUCUGCCACCUGCCUCAAAGCCCAAGGUCCCAAGUUCCAUCUCUGGUACCAAAAUAAAUAAAUAAAUAAAUAAAUAAAUAAAUAAAUAAAUAAAUAAAUAUA